This 433-nucleotide ribosomal RNA is filed under the name uncultured bacterium. RNAcentral describes it as "partial 16S ribosomal RNA". It matches the Rfam family "Bacterial small subunit ribosomal RNA", at positions 29 to 507 of the family's 1533-position model. The record is from RNAcentral.
AACGAACGCUGGCGGCAUGCCUAACACAUGCAAGUCGAACGAAACCUUCGGGGCUAGUGGCGCACGGGUGCGUAACGCGUGGGAACCUGCCCUUAGGUUCGGAAUAACUCCCCGAAAGGUGUGCUAAUACCGGAUAAUGUCUUCGGGCCAAAGAUUUAUCGCCUUUGGAUGGGCCCGCGUUGGAUUAGCUAGUUGGUAGGGUAAAAGCCCACCAAGGCGACGAUCCAUAGCUGGUCUGAGAGGAUGACCAGCCACACUGGGACUGAGACACGGCCCAGACUCCUACGGGAGGCAGCAGUGGGGAAUAUUGGACAAUGGGCGAAAGCCUGACCCAGCCAUGCCGCGUGAGUGAUGAAGGCCUUAGGAUUGUAAAGCUCUUUUACCCGGGAUGAUAAUGACGGUACCGGGAGAAUAAGCUCCGGCUAACUCCGUG